Lycium ferocissimum is the source of this 3695-nucleotide RNA transcript. It is a transcript of the gene named autophagy-related protein 18f, with no coding region annotated. The record is from RefSeq and is a predicted model, not a curated record. The transcript is spliced from 9 exons. Lineage: Eukaryota; Viridiplantae; Streptophyta; Magnoliopsida; Solanales; Solanaceae.
AGACGUAAAAGAGAAAAGCUUUAUAAUUUCUUCAAUCAUCUUUGUUCAUUAUCCGAUCCUUCAAAUUCAUUUCUUCUUUCUACCUUUAAACUACUUUUAUAAGCUUAAUAUGUAUACAUAUAAAGUCUAAUUUCUUUUUAUACAAUUUGGGAAUCUUUUUCUCUUUAUUUUCAAGUAUUGAAACCUAUCUGAUCCAAAUUUGUACAUAUUCUUUGUUGAAUUCUUUGUAAAAAAAAAAAAAAAAAGAAUACUUUAUUUGAUUCUUGAAUUUGAUGUACAGGUAGAUAAAGAUUUGUUUGAUACAUACAACAAAGUAAGUUUUUGAAAAAUUUGUUGUGUUUUACAAGUUAAAGUUUGGAUUUUUUUGUGGUGGGGUUUGGUUAGUUGUGUUCUUUAUUGUGAAGUAGUGAAAGUUUAGAAGAAGACAUAUUUGGAUUCAAUAGCUUUUAUUUUUUUGCUAUUCUGUUUUAGUGAUUUGGAAGAAGCGGUUUGUUUUUUCCAGUUGUGGGGUUUGGAUUUAUAUGGUGUUGGAAGCAAAUGAUACAGACAGGUGUUUAGAUGAGAGUUUAAACAGUUUCAUAUUGUAACGUUUUUUGCCUAGGGGUUAUCAAGAACGGUGAUAUAUAGGGAACUAACCUAAGGGGUAUGAUCAGAAGUGUAGAGAAUAAAAGAUUCAAGAAUCAGAGAGUUGUUUUCGAUUUCCGUGUUGUAUUUGCUUUGGUUUCUGCUCUUUGGGAGCUUUGGAAUGAGGAAUGAUGCACAAAAACCACCUCUUGAAGGUGGAAAUGUUGCACUAGGCAGGAGCAAAAAUGGUGUUUUUCCAGCUUCGUUUCGAGCUUUUUCCAAGAUUGUAUCGUCUGGGGCUUCGACUGUUGCUUCGACGGUUAAGUCAGCAGCUUCAGCUGCUUCGGCUAUUGUGGAGAGGGACAAUGAUUCCAGCCAUGAUCAGGUUCUCUGGGCUGGGUUUGACAAGUUGGAAUGUGAGAGUGGCACAACUCGGCAAAUUUUGCUCCUGGGGUGUCGUUACGGCUUCCAGGUUUGGGAUGUUGAAGAUGCUGACAAUGUGUGCAACUUGGUUUCCAGGCAUGAUGGUCCUGUUUCUUUCAUGCAAGCGUUACCAAAACUAAUAGCAUCAAAGAAUUGUGACGACAAAUUUUCUGUUAGUCGCCCAAUGUUGAUACUUUGUGCGGAUGUAUCUUUUUCUGGUGGUAGUAACAGUGGGGAGAGCAUAGGAACUCCUCAUAAUGGAAUGUCCCAACACUAUCAUAACCAAGCAAGACCCACUUUUGUGCCCACUGUUGUUUGGUUUUACUCCAUGAAGUCUCACUCUUACGUGCAUCAAUUGAGGUUCAGAUCAGUUGUUCACUUGGUAAGGUGCAGCUCCCGAGUGAUUGCAAUCUUACAAGCAGCUCAGAUACAUUGUUUUGAUGCUGCAACUCUAGAAAGGGAAUUUACUAUUGUCACCAAUCCUGUUGUCACGGGGUUUCCUGCAUCUGGAAACAUAGGUGUGGGACCUCUCGCGGUAGGUCCCAGGUGGAUAGCCUAUAGUGGAAGUCCAGUUUCAGUCUCGAAUUCUGGUCGAGUCAAUCCACAGCACCUUACUCCUUCUGCUAGUUCCCCAAGUCCUGCUCCAAAUGGGAGCCUUGUUGCUCAUUAUGCAAAGGAAUCAAGCAGGCAACUUGCUGCUGGUAUUGUGACUCUAGGGGACAUGGGGUACAAGAAGCUGUCGAGAUACUAUUCUGAGCUGCGAUCAGAUGGUAAUUGUUCUCAGCCUGGGAAUGCUUGUGUGAAGGUACCAGGAGCUGCUAAUGGACAUUUUCAAGAUGUAGACAGUGUUGGAAUGGUCAUAGUCAGGGACAUUGUCAGCAAAGCUCUUAUUGCUCAGUUUAGGGCACAUAAGAGUCCCAUUUCAGCUUUGUGCUUUGAUCCUAGCACUACUCUUCUGGUGACAGCUUCAGUUCAAGGUCAUAAUAUCAAUGUAUUUCGGAUAGUGCCUGGACUAUCUGAAAGUACAUGUGAUACUGAUCCUGGAUCUUCUUAUGUCCAUCUCUAUACGCUGCAGCGUGGACUGACUAACGCGGUCAUACAAGACAUAAGUUUUAGUUGUGAUAGCCGGUGGAUUAUGAUAAGUUCUUCCAGAGGAACUAGCCAUCUUUUUGCGGUAUCUCCUUCAGGGGGAUCAGUUGAUUUUCAUACGGCUGAUGCAUGUCUUAGUGUUUGCGCUAAUGGCUCCCGGGUGAUGGCAAAACCUGUGAAUUCUGUUAAUCAACAAAGCAUUUGUGGAUCUGGCCCACCCGUGACACUUUCUGCUGUUGGCCGAAUAAGGAGUGGAAGUAAUGGUUGGAAGAAUACUCUAAGUGGUGCUGCCGCUGCUGCAACGGGAAACGUUAGCUCUCUAUCUGGGUCCAUUGCUUCAGCUUUUCAGUACUACAAAGACUAUAACCAAUGUACAGAUGCAACCUUACUAAAGUCAACUUAUCACCUGCUGGUUUUUUCUUCUCCUGGCUGUGUGAUACAAUAUACUUUACGCAUGUGUUCUGGUCUAGAUCCUGUUACAACCACUACUGCGGUGGGUACAACACAUGAGUCAGGUCUUGAAGUUGAUACAAGAUUAGUUGUAGAUGCAAUCCAGAAGUGGAAUAUUUGCCAGAAACAAAAUCGCAAAGAGCGAGGUGGUAAUAUUGAUAUAUAUGGUGAAUUUGGAGACACUGAUAGCAGUAAAGUAUUUCCUGAAGGCAUAAAGGUAGAAAAUGGUCUCAAUUCUAAGCCUAGGAAUACAACAACCACAGAAGAAAAGAGAACUUCUGAUGAAAGACAUCAUAUGUAUAUAUCUGAAGUGGAGCUUGAAAUGCAUAAACCUCAGGUUCCAUUGUGGGCAAAACCUGAGAUCUAUUUUCAAUCAUUUGCUGCAGACGAGAUUAAUAUAGGUGAUGUUUAUGCUUUUGGAGGAGAGGCUGAGAUAGAAGUAUUUCCAACUCAUUCACUCGAGGCGAGAUCAAAAGAUUUAGUUCCAGUUUUUGAAUUCAUUCAAGCUUCCAAGACCCAACAAGGGAGGGUAUCUGUUAACGGUGACAAUAACGUCUCUGAUAACUGCAAUCUUAUGGCUAAUGGAGUUAAUGGAUCACAUCAUUCCAUGAAUGGUCCCAGGAGCGAAGUUCACUGCGGCCGAGAAGUAAAUGGGUUGGAUGGUCUUCCAAUGACAGGUCAAACAGCUCAUGGCUUUGUAGAUAGUAGCGAGAGCCCUAAAGCGGAUGCCCGGCUAGAUUUUGUAAAUAAUAUGAAGAGCUCCGAGAUGGAGCCACAGUCUAAGUUUGUACAUAAUAACCUAGAUGGUGCAGAAAUGGAGAAUCAUUUCGAUGAUGAAGUUGACGGCGGUGAUUGAAGGUGAUUGCUUCCCAUCUGACCAAGUUUUGGUGGAUAAAGUUACCUGGUACCUGUGCUGGUGGGAGGUAGCAGGUGUUCGUUAUUCGUUUAUUACGUGGAGGUUUCUGUAAGUGUUAAUAUUGUGGGAGGUGAAAAUGUAGAGAAGGAAGAGAGUUUAGGCUCCUUGAUUGACCCAAUGUGCAAAGUGUGGAUGCUUUUGACUUUGUAAAUAUUAGACACUGAAACUUGUCCAAUAAAGUAACUCGUAAUAUUUAAAUAAUUGCCUGGAUCUUGCAACUUGUUACUUUAUUUUGUUAUCGUCAUUCACCUUA